UAGAGGAAGUAAAAGUCGUAACAAGGUUUCCGUAGGUGAACCUGCGGAAGGAUCAUUAUCGAAUUUCGAGGGGGGGAAGAUGAAGGGGAGACUGUCGCUGGCGUUCGCUGUGCACGUCUUUCUUUUCGUCGACCUUUCUCUUACUCUCACACCUGUGCACACACUGUAGGUCUCUCGAAAGAGGAUCUAUGUUUUCAUCAUCACACACACUGUAUGUCUAGAAUGUAUCACGAUCGUCGACCGGCCUUGCGGUCGGGUGGCGGUCAAAUGAAUAAAUACAACUUUCAGCAACGGAUCUCUUGGCUCUCGCAUCGAUGAAGAACGCAGCGAAUUGCGAUAAGUAAUGUGAAUUGCAGAUUUUCAGUGAAUCAUCGAAUCUUUGAACGCACCUUGCGCUCCUUGGUAUUCCGAGGAGCAUGCCUGUUUGAGUGUCAUGUAAUUCUCAACCACGUCUCGAUUGAUUUCGAGGCAUGGCUUGGACUUGGGGGCUGCUGGUGGCGAAAGCUGUCAGCUCUCCUGAAAUGCAUUAGCAACGGACAGCAAUGUCUGACGUGCACGGCCUUGACGUGAUAAUGAUCGUCGUCGCUGGAGCGUCGGACGUGCACACGAGUCCGUUUGCUUCGAAUCCUAUUGACUUGAGACUUGGACAUUUCGAGAGAAGCGUCAGCUACUAGUCGGUCAUGAGGCCGGCGAACGUGGGCUUGCUCGGAGGUCAGAGUCCCUCGUCUUUUUUCAUGACUUGACCUCAAAUCAGGUAGGACUACCCGCUGAACUUAAGCAUAUCAAUA
This 788-nucleotide ribosomal RNA is filed under the name uncultured Xerocomus. RNAcentral's name for it is "eukaryotic LSU rRNA". The stretch from base 280 to 434 matches the Rfam family "5.8S ribosomal RNA". Lineage: Eukaryota; Fungi; Basidiomycota; Agaricomycetes; Boletales; Boletaceae. The record is from RNAcentral.